GGGGAUAUAGCUAACUGGUAGAGCACUUGCCUAACAUGUGCAAGAGCCUAGGUUCAAUCCCAAGCACCUCA
RNAcentral lists this transfer RNA (71 nucleotides) under Marmota monax (woodchuck). RNAcentral describes it as "tRNA.Val". Lineage: Eukaryota; Metazoa; Chordata; Mammalia; Rodentia; Sciuridae. The record is from RNAcentral.